Molecule: ribosomal RNA, 253 nt
Filed under: uncultured bacterium
Lineage: Bacteria
Description: partial 16S ribosomal RNA
Rfam family: Bacterial small subunit ribosomal RNA
Source: RNAcentral
UACGUAGGGUGCGAGCGUUGUCCGGAAUUAUUGGGCGUAAAGAGCUUGUAGGCGGUUUGUCGCGUCUGCCGUGAAAGCCCAGGGCUUAACCCUGGGUCUGCGGUGGGUACGGGCAGACUAGAGUGUGGUAGGGGAGACUGGAAUUCCUGGUGUAGCGGUGAAAUGCGCAGAUAUCAGGAGGAACACCGAUGGCGAAGGCAGGUCUCUGGGCCACUACUGACGCUGAGGAGCGAAAGCGUGGGGAGCGAACAGG